This 454-nucleotide ribosomal RNA is filed under the name uncultured bacterium. RNAcentral's name for it is "partial 16S ribosomal RNA". It matches the Rfam family "Bacterial small subunit ribosomal RNA", at positions 28 to 507 of the family's 1533-position model. The record is from RNAcentral.
GAUGAACGCUGACAGAAUGCUUAACACAUGCAAGUCCACUUGAACUUCGGUUUGGGUGGCGGACGGGUGAGUAACGCGUAAAGAACUUGCCUCACAGUUAGGGACAACAUUUGGAAACGAAUGCUAAUACCUGAUAUUAUGAUUUUAGGGCAUCCUAGAAUUAUGAAAGCUAUAUGCGCUGUGAGAGAGCUUUGCGUCCCAUUAGCUAGUUGGAGAGGUAACGGCUCACCAAGGCGGUGAUGGGUAGCCGGCCUGAGAGGGUGAACGGCCACAAGGGGACGGAGACACGGCCCUUACUCCUCCGGGAGGCAGCAGUGGGGAAUAUUGGACAAUGGACCAAGAGUCUGAUCCAGCAAUUCUGUGUGCACGAUGAAGUUUUUCGGAAUGUAACGUGCUUUCAGUUGGGAAGAAAAAAAUGACGAUACCAACAGAAGAAGUGACGGCUAAAUACGUG